This 1945-nucleotide ribosomal RNA is filed under the name Andinodontis sp. Ecuador: Vinillos. RNAcentral's name for it is "partial 18S small subunit ribosomal RNA". It matches the Rfam family "Eukaryotic small subunit ribosomal RNA". Lineage: Eukaryota; Metazoa; Arthropoda; Insecta; Coleoptera; Carabidae. The record is from RNAcentral.
GCCAUGCAUGUCAGUACAAAUAUAAAUAAAGUGAAACCGCGAAAGGCUCAUUAAAUCAGUUAUGGUUCAUUSGAUYGUACCCACAKUUACUUGGAUAACUGUGGUAAUUCUAGAGCUAAUACAUGCAAACAGAGGACCGACCGGAGACGGRAGGUGUGCUUUUAUUAGAUCWAAAACUAAUCGGUGGCAGUAUUGSAUUCAAACAUUACUGUUCAUCGCGAAUUBUGGUGACUCUAAAUAACUUUAUGCUGAUCGCACGGUCUWGCACCGGCGACGCAUCUUUCAAAUGUCUGCCUUAUCAACUGUCGAUGGUAGGAUCUGCGCCUACCAUGGUUGUAACGGGUAACGGGGAAUCAGGGUUCGAUUCCRGAGAGGGAGCCUGAGAAACGGCUACCACAUCCAAGGAAGGCAGCAGGCGCGCAAAUUACCCAUUCCCGGCACGGGGAGGUAGUGACGAAAAAUAACGAUACGGGACUCAUCCGAGGCCCCGUAAUCGGAAUGAGUACAWUUUAAAUCCUUUAACAAGGAUCAAUUGGAGGGCAAGUCUGGUGCCAGCAGCUGCGGUAAUUCCAGCUCCAAUAGCGUAUAUUAAAGUUGUUGCGGUUAAAAAGCUCGUAGUUGAAUUUGUGUCCCGCGCUGUCGGUUCACCGCCCGCGGUGUCAACUGGCACGUCUCGCGGGACGUCCUGCCGGUGGAUGAGUGGUCUUUGAUUWUUCUCCCAUAUUGCGUGUGCAUCCUUUGUGUUGUUACUGCUAUGUGUGUGUAGAAUUUUCAAAUGUAUAACCAUCCGAAUAUCCUGUCGCGGUUCUCUUAAUUGAGUGUCGAGGCAGGCCGGCACAUUUACUUUGAACAAAUUAGAGUGCUCAAAGCAGGCUAAAAUUUUGCCUAUAUAUUACUGCAUGGAAUAAUGAAAUAGGACCUCGUUUCCAUUUUGUUGGUUUUAGGAAUACCGAGGUAAUGAUUAAUAGGGACAGAUGGGGGCAUUCGUAUUGCGACGUUAGAGGUGAAAUUCUUGGAUCGUCGCAAGACGAACAGAAGCGAAAGCAUUUGCCAAAAAUGUUUUCUUUAAUCAAGAACGAAAGUCAGAGGCUCGAAGGCGAUCAGAUACCGCCCUAGUUCUGACCAUAAACUAUGCCAUCUAGCAAUCCGCCGACGUUCCUCCGAUGACUCGGCGGGCAGCUUGCGGGAAACCAAAGUGUUUGGGUUCCGGGGGAAGUAUGGUUGCAAAGCUGAAACUUAAAGGAAUUGACGGAAGGGCACCACCAGGUGUGGAGCCUGCGGCUCAAUUUGACUCAACACGCGAAACUUCACUAGGUCCGGACAGCGGAAGGAUUGACAGAUUGAUAGCUCUUUCUUGAUUCGUUGGGUGGUGGUGCAUGGCCGUUCUUAVUUGGUGGACUGAUUUGUCUGGUUAAUUCCKAUAACGAACGAGACUCUAGCCUACUAWAUAGGCGUUACUUACCGGUAUCSUGAAGGCUCGUGGAUUUCSUUUUSUGGCGUAUAUAAGUUGAUAUGCAUUUUSSUUUSRGCGUUUAAUGUAUCAUCWCKRUAUAYGUUUARUGYGAGAGCUCACAGUUUUUACUACCGGCGUACAUUUAAAUCUUCUYAGAGGGACAGGWGGCKUUUAKCCRCAMKAGAUUGAGCAAUAACAGGUCUGUGABGCCCUUAGAUGUCYUSRGSYGYACGCGCGCUACACUGWARGAAUCAACGUGUCUUCCCUGGCYGAAAGGUCCGGGUAACCCGCUGAAACUCYUUCGUGCUAGGGAUUGGGGUUUGCAAUUAUCCCCCAUGAACGAGGAAUACCUVGUAAGUGCGAGUCAUAAACUUGCGCUGAUUAAGUCCCUGCCCUUUGUACACACYGCCCGUCGCUAUUACCGAUUGAAUAAUUUAGUGAGGUCUUCGGACCGGUAACGCGGUGAUGUCUCGAUAUYGCCGAUGUCGCUGG